RNAcentral lists this ribosomal RNA (74 nucleotides) under Betiscoides sp. B32_bk_83. Its description in RNAcentral is "partial 16S ribosomal RNA". The record is from RNAcentral. RNAcentral also lists the same sequence under 7 other names. Lineage: Eukaryota; Metazoa; Arthropoda; Insecta; Orthoptera; Lentulidae.
CUCUUAUUAGUACGAAAGGACCAUAAGGGUAAAAUAAUUUUNNAUUUAUUUGAUUAAUAUUAAUUUAGGAUAAA